UUGACUGUGCUAAGGUAGCAUAAUAAAUUGGCUUUUAAUUGAAGUCGGGAAUGAAAGGGUGUUUGGGGCUAUUCUGUCUUAUUUUUAUUUUUUAAAAAUUACUAAUGAGGUGAAAAUUCCUCAAUGUUUUAUAAUAGACGAGAAGACCCUAAGAAUUAUUACAACUAUUAAAUUGAAUUAAUAAAAGUUUUUGUUGGGGCAACAGCUUUGAAUAACCAAAGUUAAAAUUUACUAUAAAAAGAUUAUAUUAAAAACGGAUUUAAUUACCUUAGGGAUAACAGCAUAAUUAAAUUUUAGAUUGUGACCUCGAUGUUGGAUUAAGGCCU
Molecule: ribosomal RNA, 326 nt
Filed under: Pyramidula pusilla
Lineage: Eukaryota; Metazoa; Mollusca; Gastropoda; Stylommatophora; Pyramidulidae
Description: partial 16S ribosomal RNA
Source: RNAcentral